CAGUGGCUGUCCAGGUCUUUCACAGCCACAGCCAUGAAGUGUGCGAAUAUCCUGCUGGCCACGCUGGGGCUCCUUGUUCAGGGUUCAUCAGGAGAAAUCGUCCUGACUCAGACUCCUGGAUCUCAGUCUGUUGUUCCAGGACAGACUGUCUCUAUCAGGUGUAAAGCCAGCACACUUAUAGGUGAUGACAUGAACUGGUACCUGCAGAAACCUGGAGAAGCUCCUAAACUCCUGAUUUAUGAUACUACAGCACGUCAGUCUGGAGUUCCAGAUCGUUUUAGUGCGACUGCACAUCAGACUGACUUCACGUUGACCAUCAGAGCGGUUCAGACUGAAGAUGGAGGAGUUUAUCACUGUCAGCAGCGUAACAGCUUCCCGUUCACACAGUGAUACAACGUCGUACAAAAACCUCCCUCAGCUGAAGAGGAACUGAUCUGACUCAUCAGCUGCACAGAACCUCACACAUGAAGUAAAAAGAGCCAAAGUAUUUGUCACAGUUACACCAAACAUUUAAACUGUUGAUAUUUUACACACUACAAUAAAACCUUUAAUAAGA
Scophthalmus maximus (turbot) is the source of this 556-nucleotide non-coding RNA. Lineage: Eukaryota; Metazoa; Chordata; Actinopteri; Pleuronectiformes; Scophthalmidae. The record is from the annotation of a RefSeq genome assembly.